CAGUAGCCACGGGAAUACGUAGGGUGCGAGCGUUAAUCGGAAUUACUGGGCGUAAAGCGUGCGCAGGCGGUUUUGUAAGACAGGCGUGAAAUCCCCGGGCUCAACCUGGGAAUGGCGCUUGUGACUGCAAAGCUAGAGUGCGGCAGAGGGAGAUGGAAUUCCGCGUGUAGCAGUGAAAUGCGUAGAUAUGCGGAGGAACACCGAUGGCGAAGGCAAUCCCCUGGGCCUGCACUGACGCUCAUGCACGAAAGCGUGGGGAGCAAACAGGAUUAGAUACCCCUGUAGUCCCUGUCUCUUAUAC
This 301-nucleotide ribosomal RNA is filed under the name uncultured bacterium. RNAcentral's name for it is "partial 16S ribosomal RNA". It matches the Rfam family "Bacterial small subunit ribosomal RNA", at positions 509 to 807 of the family's 1533-position model. The record is from RNAcentral.